Molecule: ribosomal RNA, 465 nt
Filed under: uncultured bacterium
Lineage: Bacteria
Description: partial 16S ribosomal RNA
Rfam family: Bacterial small subunit ribosomal RNA
Source: RNAcentral
GACGAACGCUGGCGGCGUGCUUAACACAUGCAAGUCGAACGGAAAGGCCCCUUUGGGGGUACUCGAGUGGCGAACGGGUGAGUAACACGUGAGUAACCUGCCCUUGACUUCGGGAUAACUUCAGGAAACUGGGGCUAAUACCGGAUAGGAAUCCUUGCUGCAUGGUGGGGGUUGGAAAGCUUCGGCGGUUUUGGAUGGACUCGCGGCUUAUCAGCUUGUUGGUGGGGUAGUGGCUUACCAAGGCUUUGACGGGUAGCCGGCCUGAGAGGGCGACCGGCCACAUUGGGACUGAGAUACGGCCCCGGCUCCUACGGGAGGCAGCAGUGGGGAAUAUUGCACAAUGGGCGGAAGCCUGAUGCAGCAACGCCGCGUGCGGGAUGACGGCCUUCGGGUUGUAAACCGCUUUCAGCAGGGGCGAAGCUUGUGGUGACGGUACCUGCAGAAGAAGCACCGGCUAUCUACGUG